GUGACUCAUGGAGCACAACUCUGGACAGAUCAAACUGGAACAUGUUUCUUGAUAAGUCAAUGGAAAACGUCGUUUUGUUGGCUCCAAACAACAUCGAAGCAUCGCCUGUGAGCUUGUUCCUUGAGAAAUCUAUCCGGUUAAAAUCAAGGUUGCCUAGUGAUUUGGGUAUAGAACCGGAGAGCUGAUUGUGUGAAAAGAUAAGGUAAGGAACUUCUGCUGGAAACGAUCCAAAUGAUUCAGGUAUUGUACCUAAGUGAAAGUUAGAAAAAAAGCAUUUUAAUAAUCAUAUUUUAAGCGACGAAUAGUAGAAUCAAAGAGAUUUUGUGACCAAAAAAAAAAAGUAGAAUCAAAGAGAUUACUUAGUUUACCUGUAAGUUUAUUCCUACUAACAUCAAUGUACGAAAGUUUAGGUAACAAAGCGAGGGAGCUAGGUAUGGAACCAGAGAGCUGAUUGAAGGCAAGGCUUAAGUAUUCAAGAUUCAUGAGCUGACUAAGGAAAUCAGGAACCGGGCCGGUGAGGUUCAACCAGCUAAGCCUGAGAGAACGGAGAUGCUUAAGCUUGGUGAUGGUGGAUGGGAUCUGACCGGUGAUGUUAGUGAUCCUGUGGAACAUAAGAUUCUGAAGAUACGGUAAGUCACCCACUUCAGGCGGAAUCUGACCGGAUAUCUGACCGGCGAAUAUGGUUAGGGAGAUGACGCGGUGGUUAACGGUGGCGUCGCCGCAUUCGAGGCAGUACCAGGAGCAGCAGUCGGUUUCCGGGUGCCACGAGGCGAGGUGGUAAGGGUUGUUUAGGGACUUCUUGAUUUUAAGGAGGGUGUUUUUGUCGUUUUGGUUACAUAGAUCUUUCGAUGUCGCGAUGGUGAUGAGGUACGUGAUGAAAAACAAGAGCGAGAAAAGCAGUGUCGUGUUUGUCUUAUGAUCCAUGUUGUAUGGUGUUUGGUUUUGAAUAUUUUUUUUGUUGAAAGUGUGACGAUGAUAUAAACACUAUCGAGAUUAGAUAUUUGAUUUGAUAGAAACCUUAAUAGUCAGUCAAUACGUGUGAUUAAGAUGUCGGUGUUGAAUAUGGUUGGCUGGUGCCAACAUGCUGGCAGUCAACAUGUGCCACUUGAGUACUACUACUCUCUCAGCCACGGCUUCUAUUUUCUGAUUAAAAAAAAAAAAUUCAUAUGUAUAUAAAUGUUUGGGUUUAUAAUCUUACACGAAGCACUUUUAAGCUUCAAUAUAUGAAAUUUGCUUUUGAUACAAUUUUAAAACAGUUUCCACAAAUAGUUUUAUUUUCGAAAUGAGAAAAUUUAUAUAAUUUAAAACAGGAUUUGAAAAAUGAGAUGCACCAAAAAGAAAAUAGCAUCUAAAUGUAUUUCAUGAAACUAAAAUAUGACUAGAAAAGCAUCUGACAUGAAAUAACAUCUGGCGUGAGAGAAAAAGCAUGGAGCUGAUCCUUCUCCACCUAUCAAACUAGAAAAGCAUCUAUAGGACUAUCAGAAACAGAACAUAUGCAGAUGGGAUAGCAAUAUGGUUUGGCUCAAGGAUAAGCACCUAAAUCAUUCUUUACAUUCUUUUCUUCUUUAUUCUUUCUCUAUUUAGAAGUUAAAAACACCUUUCGGACACGGAAGCUCUAGAUGUUAAAUAAGGUUCUUAGUUUUUUUAGUUAAAAGUUAAGAAACGGUUUUUUAUAUUCCGCUAAGAACAAGAAACGGUUUUUUAUAUUCCGCUAAGAACCUCACCCUAAGAACUCUCCAUUAAUCAUGCUCUUAUAAGUGAAAAUAGAGGAUAAGUAUUCGUCCUUAUUCUUCCUCUAUUUGUGGUAAGCUCUACCUUCAUUUUCACUUUAAAAAUGUUCUAAGAACUCAUCAAAAUACAAGUUGUGAUACAUGUUUUAUUUAAUCAAUCUGGAUGAUAUUACAUUUUUUUUUUUGGGAAAACUAGAGAUAAGCUUGGUUUAUUACUUGCAACUAUCAAGAGGUGCACCACACAAACACUUGUUGUGAAAAUAUAUAUAAGAAUCAAAUCUCUGAAGACUGCCUCCAGUGGGGAUGGGUCCACACAGUCUGUUAUAGCUAACGUUUAAGAGUUGGAGAGAAUAUUCAGUCCACUGAACCGGAAUACUCCCUGUGAUCCCAUUGUGGUUCAAAUCCAGUACACCAAGUGACUGAGGGAGCACAACUCUGGACAGAUCAAACUGGAACAUGUUUCUUGAUAAGUCAAUGGAAAACGUCGUUUUGUUGGCUCCAAACAACAUCGAAGCAUCGCCUGUGAGCUUGUUCCUUGAGAAAUCUAUCCGGUUAAAAUCAAGGUUGCCUAGUGAUUUGGGUAUAGAACCGGAGAGCUGGUUGUGUGAUAAGAUAAGGUAAGGAACUUCUCCUGGAAACGAUCCAAAUGACUCUGGUAUUGUACCUAAGUGAAAGUUAAAACGUUGUGAAUAGAAAAAUAACAAUGUAAUAAACAGUUUAUUUUUUAUAAUCGUUUUUUUAUACAUAAAAGAGUUAUUCACCUGUAAGCUUAUUCCUACUAAGAUCAAUGUACGUAAGUUUAGGUAACAGGGAGAGAGAGCUAGGUACUGAACCAGAAAGCUCAUUGAACGAAAGGUUUAAGUAGUCAAGAUUCACGAGCUGACUAAGAAAAUCAGGAACCGGGCCGGUGAGGUUCGUCCAGCUAAGCCAUAGAAACGUGAGAUACUUGAGCUUGGUGAUGCUGUGUGGGAUCUGACCGGUGAGGUUAGUGAGUUUGCGGAAGACAAGCUUCUGAAGAUACGGUAAGUCACCGACUUCAGGCGGGAUCUGACCGGAUAUCUGACCGGCGAAUAUGGUUAGGGAGAUGACGCGGUGGUUAACGGUGGCGUCGCCGCAUUCGAGGCAGUACCAGGAGCAGCAGUCGGUUUCGGGGUGCCACGAGGCGAGGUGGUAAGGGUUGUUUAGGGACUUCUUGAUCUUGAGGAGGGUCUUUUUGUCGUUUUGGUUACAUUGAUCUUUUGAUGACGCGUUCGCGAGGUGUGUGAUGAAAAACAAGAGCGAGAAAAGCAGUGUCGAAUGUAUUUUAUUAUCCAUGUUGUAUGGUUUUGAUUUUGAGUUUUUGUUCUUGAAAGUGUGACAGUGAUAUAUACACACUAGAGAUUAGAGAUUUGAUUUGAUAGGAACCUUAAUAGUCAAUACGUAUGCUCAAGAUGUCGGUGUUGAAUUUGGUUGGCUAGUGCAAAACUAGUGGCUGUCCACAUGUGCCACUUGAGUACUACUACUCUCUCCAUCACGGCUUCUUUUUUUGAAAAAGGGCUUUCCGGGCUAUUUAUUUUAUGGGAAAUUGGGUGAGAUAACAUAAAAAAAAACCAUAAUUCACUAUUUAACUAAAAUUUCAUUAUCUCUCAUCUUUUCUCUUUCUAUCUCUCUCUACUUUUUCUCUACAAGACUAAUUUUUCUUUUUUUCUUAGCUAUUUCACAAAUAAAUCUUUAUUUUAUUUUAUUUUUCUAAAAAAUUAUUCGUAUACUUAUAUAGUUAUAUAAAUUAUGGUUUACAAUACCACAUGAAAGACUUUAAAGCUUCAGCAUAUCAGAUUUACUUUUGAUAAAAUUUGAAACAAUAACCACGAAUAGUAUAUAUUGUUUUAUUUAUUUAAAAACUGGAGGUUGGAUUCGAAAAUUUAGAUGCACCAAAAAAAAAAAUAUACUAGAAACAAGUUUGGUUGAUUAACAAAAAGUUUUGAAGAUUAUACAACAAAUUUAUCAAAGCAAGUUUGGUUGAUUAUUUUUAUUAAUCAAUCCAAAUAAAGAUACAGUUGUUUAUAGACUUAUUGGAUUAUUUGUAGAAGUAUAAUAAUAAUAGCUUGGCUGCUUGAAUCUUUUACUUGCAACUAUCAAGAGGUGCACCACACAAACACUUGUUGUGAAAAUAGGAAUAAGUAUCGAAUUCCUGAAGUGUCCCUCCUGUGGGGAUGUGUCCACACAAUCUGUUAUAGCUAACAUUGAAGAACUGAAGAGGAGCUUCGGUCCACUGAACCGGGAUAUUCCCUGUGAUUCCGUUGUGGUUCAAGUCCAAGAUACCAAGUGUCUUAGGGAUCACAACUCUAGAGAGAUCGAACUGUAACAUGUUUCUUGAUAAAUCAAUGUACCACGUCGUUUUGUUGGCUCCAAACAACAUCGAAGCAUCGCCUCCGAGCUUGUUCCGAGAGAAAUCUAUCCGGUUAAAAUCAAGAUUGCCUAGUGUUUUUGGUAUAUAACCGGAGAGCUGGUUGUGUGAUAGGUAAAGAUCAGGUACUUUUGCUGGAAACGACCCAAAUGACUCUGGUAUAGAACCUGCUUGCAUGAAAAGUUUCAUAAUCAGGUUUAGAAAGAAAGGUAAAUAAAUGCCCUUUUUACAAAAAAAAAAAAUAGAAAGGUAAAUAGGUAAAAAGAGAAAAAGAGAGUUUAUUUACCUGUAAGCUUGUUCCUGAUCCUGCUGAGAUCAAGGGACAAAAGAUUAGGUAACAAAGAUAGAGAACUCGGUACUGAACCAGAGAGAUCGUUGAAGGAAAGGUCUAUGAACUGGAGAUUCUUGAGCUCACUGAGAAAACCAGGAACCGGACCGGUCAGAUUCGUCCAGCUGAGCCUGAGGCUCCGGAGAUACUUGAGCUUGGUGAUGGUGCGUGGGAUCUGACCGGUGAGGUUAGUGAGUUUGCGGAAGACAAGGGUCUGUAGAUAAGACAAGUCACCAACCUCAGGCGGGAUCUGACCGGAGAUCUGACCGGAAAAUAUGGUUAGGGCGGUGACGCGGUGGUUAACGGUGGCGUCGCCGCACUCGAGGCAGUACCAGGAGCAACAGUCUGUUUGAGGGUCCCACGAGGCGAGGUGGUAAGGGUUGUUUAGGGCUUUCUUGAUCUUGAGGAGGGUGGUUUUGUCAUCUUGGUUACAUAGGUUUUUAGAGAAAGAAGUCGUGAGGAAUGUGAACAUGGAGAAGAACAAAAGCAGUGUCGUUGUCUUAUCCAUGCUGUCGUUG
This 4962-nucleotide long non-coding RNA is filed under the name Brassica napus (rape). Its description in RNAcentral is "long non-coding RNA (BNAP_LNC023800)". Lineage: Eukaryota; Viridiplantae; Streptophyta; Magnoliopsida; Brassicales; Brassicaceae. The record is from RNAcentral.